This 72-nucleotide transfer RNA is filed under the name Marmota monax (woodchuck). Its description in RNAcentral is "tRNA.Ala". It matches the Rfam family "tRNA". From Rfam's summary of the family: Transfer RNA (tRNA) molecules are approximately 80 nucleotides in length. Lineage: Eukaryota; Metazoa; Chordata; Mammalia; Rodentia; Sciuridae. The record is from RNAcentral.
GGGAUGUAACUCAGUUGGUAGAGUACUUGCCUUGCAUGCACAAGGCCCUGGGUUCAAUUCCCAGCACCACCA